Long non-coding RNA from Balaenoptera acutorostrata (minke whale), 555 nucleotides. RefSeq lists it as uncharacterized. The transcript is spliced from 5 exons. The record is from RefSeq and is a predicted model, not a curated record. NCBI's taxonomy places the organism in Eukaryota, Metazoa, Chordata, Mammalia, Artiodactyla, Balaenopteridae.
GGAGGGUUCGCUCAGGUCUCCUGCUCUGCGCCCAGCAGCACGGGGUUUAGAGGCUGGAAAAAGUGAUUCAGAAAAAGAAGAAAAGUAGAAAAAGGAGAUAAUGAAGAAACAGCCGUUAUUCAGUCAUUUUUCUGCAGCUUUACCUGAAAGGAGAAUUGCUUCUAUGUGAUUCAUUACAAGAUACCAACAGCAUCAGCGUACUCCCAGGAAAGACAGUGCCCUCUGGAAAUAAUCAUACCAUCAGAAAUCGCCAACCACAUAAUGAAGUUAACAUCCAUGAAAGAAUCAACAGAUGCAACACAGGUACAGGAAAUUUGGACACACUGAGAGAAACCAAGGGUGUGCAAGCACAGAGGGAUGACCAUGUGAUGAUUCAGCAAGAGAGUGGCCAUCUGCAAGGCAAGAAGAGAGGCCUCAGAAGAAACCAAACCUGCCAGCACCUACCUCUUGGACUUCUAGCCUCCAGAACUUUGUGUGCUUAAUAAUGCAAGUGAUGGAGCAUUUUACUGAGUCUGGGCAGAGAUUUCAGCAUUCUCUAAAGAAAACCUACACCUA